Molecule: ribosomal RNA, 503 nt
Filed under: uncultured bacterium
Lineage: Bacteria
Description: partial 16S ribosomal RNA
Rfam family: Bacterial small subunit ribosomal RNA
Source: RNAcentral
AUUGAACGCUGGCGGCAGGCUUAACACAUGCAAGUCGAGCGGGGGAAGGUGCUUCGGCACUGACCUUAGCGGCGGACGGGUGAGUAAUGCUUAGGAAUCUGCCUAUUAGUGGGGGACAACAUCUCGAAAGGGAUGCUAAUACCGCAUACGUCCUACGGGAGAAAGCAGGGGAUCACUUGUGACCUUGCGCUAAUAGAUGAGCCUAAGUCGGAUUAGCUAGUUGGUGGGGUAAAGGCCUACCAAGGCGACGAUCUGUAGCGGGUCUGAGAGGAUGAUCCGCCACACUGGGACUGAGACACGGCCCAGACUCCUACGGGAGGCAGCAGUGGGGAAUAUUGGACAAUGGGGGGAACCCUGGUCCAGCCAUGCCGCGUGUGUGAAGAAGGCCUUAUGGUUGUAAAGCACUUUAAGCGAGGAGGAGGCUCUUUUGGUUAAUACCCAAGAUGAGUGGACGUUACUCGCAGAAUAAGCACCGGCUAACUCUGUGCCAGCAGCCGCAGUAA